GACCGCGUAGCUCAGUUGGCAGAGCAUUGGGCUAGUAUUCCAAAGGUCGUAGGUUCGAUUCCCACCGCGGCCA
This is a non-coding RNA of Paramuricea clavata, 73 nucleotides long. Lineage: Eukaryota; Metazoa; Cnidaria; Anthozoa; Malacalcyonacea; Plexauridae. The record is from the annotation of a GenBank genome assembly.